GGAGUCGAUUUAGCACAUGCUAGUCGCACGGGUUCAGACCCGUGGCGAAUAGCUCCGUAACACGUGGCCAAACUACCCUAUGGAUCGGGACAACCUCGGGAAACUGAGGCUAAUCCCGAAUACCGCUCCCAUCCUGGAACUGGAGGGAGCACGAAACGCUCCGGCGCCAUAGGAUGUGGCUGCGGCCGAUUAGGUAGACGGUGGGGUAACGGCCCACCGUGCCGAUAAUCGGUACGGGUUGUGAGAGCAAGAGCCCGGAGACGGUAUCUGAGACAAGAUACCGGGCCCUACGGGGCGCAGCAGGCGCGAAACCUUUACACUGCACGAACGUGCGAUAAGGGGACUCCGAGUGCGAGGGCAUACAGUCCUCGCUUUUCUGUACCGUAAGGUGGUACAGGAAUA
This 402-nucleotide ribosomal RNA is filed under the name uncultured haloarchaeon. RNAcentral's name for it is "bacterial SSU rRNA". It matches the Rfam family "Archaeal small subunit ribosomal RNA", at positions 35 to 437 of the family's 1478-position model. The record is from RNAcentral. Lineage: Archaea; Methanobacteriati; Methanobacteriota; Halobacteria; Halobacteriales; Halobacteriaceae.